This is a long non-coding RNA of Stegostoma tigrinum, 305 nucleotides long. RefSeq lists it as uncharacterized. The transcript is spliced from 3 exons. Lineage: Eukaryota; Metazoa; Chordata; Chondrichthyes; Orectolobiformes; Stegostomatidae. The record is from RefSeq and is a predicted model, not a curated record.
AGCACACAUAGAUUGGUUCAUCUACAUGGCUCGUAAUGAAUGGCAGAAUCACACAGAUCUGAUGGCUUUACAAGGUUAACAGCAUCCUUCGUAUAGAAGGGCAACCAGAAUGCUCUGUAGUAUUCUAAAAGUGGCCUCACCAGUGUUCUAUACAAACACAUGACCUCCUAACUCCUGUACUCAAUGCUCUGACCAACGAAGUGCAGCAAUCUUUAUGAGAACCAGGCACCUACAAGCAGAACCUGAAGUUUCCAUUUCACAAAACCAUUUCAUAACCAGCACUGCAAGAUAAUGUUUCGUGGCUG